CAUGCACUUCCUCAAAAAAACCCCCCAAAAAACCCCUGCUUUCAGGAUGAAACAUUCGGCUACAUGCAUUAAAUGAGUCGUCCUAUACACGUACACGCUAUAGUCUGAAAUUAUACCCAAAACACAGUUUAGGCAGUUAGGUACAUGUCACAUGCUUCUGCGUCCAUCGACCACAAUUUUAUCGUAUAGUUAUAUACGGUAUGCCCCUAUUUAUAACAUAUUUUGCUUGAAAGCAGCUACAUUUGCGCCCAUUCCUCGAUAUGGCCAGUCAAAUUAUGCCAGUUCGCAGAAUACUUUCAUCUUAUAAUCUAACUCCUUGUGGUGAGGUAGGCCUAUAUUCAUGUUGUUUCGUUUUCCCCGUGAACCACAUUAACAAUUUUGUAAGAUUACGUAUCCUUUGCCUGAUCCCAAAGUGGUAAUUAUAUAAAUAGACUUCAUUACUCUGUAACUCAAUUUAAGAUAUCUUAAAACUGUAGCGCUAGCCAGCUAUACAAGCCAAUUUGAAGGAUGCAUAUAGCAAACAAUACGCUAUACACAAAUCUCUAGGUUAUAAUAUAUGUACUGUACCAAAUCAUAUAUCUCAAUCAGGGACAUCAGGAAUAAAUUUACAAACUACCUUGCACAUUUAAACCUCAGCCACGACACGCGUGUAUGGAUCGAAAACAAGAUAUACAGAACACCCUACACACGCAUUAUACAUACAUUAUGCCUUACUAUACAGUCAAUAUCUCACGAUAUGGUCUACUCUCCAAACCCGGUGAAGACCCAAGAAAUCAUUAACCAAAUACCGCCCAUAAAAGAUUGCACAACGCAAAAUCCCAAAAUCCUGUAUCAACCGAGGUAUAAAAUUACAAACUGGCAGAGGAAAUACUGCUAGGGAAAAAAAUUAAAGAUUGUCGGUUUCUCGGUCAGGAAGGCUCAGUACAGAUUUUAACUCCACUGUAGGGGAAACAUUUCUUGCCAUGCACACUCGAUAUUGGUCGUGGCAAAAUACAUGAAGCCUUAAUUCGCUGGCGGAGGUAUAUGCAGUUGGGUUAGACGAUUUUAUUGCUGACAUUCCGCUUUCAUGGGUUUCUGCAUAUUCUGACUGGAAAUUGCGUGGCCGAGAUUUCGAAAUUGAAUAGUAAAUAUAUG
Non-coding RNA from Paramuricea clavata, 1134 nucleotides. Lineage: Eukaryota; Metazoa; Cnidaria; Anthozoa; Malacalcyonacea; Plexauridae. The record is from the annotation of a GenBank genome assembly.